CCAACCCAAAAUAGAUUUACCCAUUCUCUAAUAUCUUCUAAUCCCUAAAUUUUCCCCAAAAGAAUCAGCAGACACUGUUAAGAUUCAUUGUCGAGCUAACAUACAUCUGACUUGAAUCCCUAAAUCUCCUUUUUUGCAAACUCCAUUAAAGUUUCUUAUCCUUUUUAUAACUUUUGAAAACUGCAGAUAUAUAAGUUGAAAAGCUUUGGAAGCCAUUUGAGCAACUCCUGCCAUGAACAAGCAUGUAAUGGAAUCUUCAUGUUCAUAGGGUAAGCUUUUCUUAUUUUGCUUUUAAAAACAGUUGUGGGUCAUUUUCGUAUUACUCUAGACCGCCAUACUUGAAGUUCCCUAGUUCUUGAACUUGUGUCCUCAGUUCUCACGAUAGAGCCCUCUGCUUCUAGAUUUUUACUUAGUUCUUUGAUUUAUUGAUUUGUUCAUAUGCGGUGAAUGGUGCUUGUAGUUGAUUUGCGUCCUUGUUUUAUUCCAUUGGUCCCGUAGUCUUGCUCAUUGUUGGCUUAAAUUGGUUAUGAAUAAUUUCAGCGCCUACUAUGUUUCCCACUGCAAUGCUUUCAUUGCAACCCCUUCAUUUUAAAAUAUUGCUGCAGGCUUUCUUUUGCUUUCGUUUUCAGUUGUAUAAUUGCUUUCAUUUGUCCCUGGUUGACGUCUGGUAUUGUAUCUAUUACACAAGACCUUUUCCUAUAAAUACUUUCAGGAAUUAUAAAGAAUGGGUCAACUCUCCAAUAAUACCAAGUCUACAUUUAAUCAACCUAAUUUCAACUCUCAGCCUAAAUACUCUUAUCACCUCCACUCUCUAAAACUUCUAGCUCCCAGUCUUCAUUGAGUGAAUCGACCUCUAUAACGAUGACCACUCUCUUUUUUAUACCACCUCCCUAUUGUAUCACUAUAUCAAUAAAUAUAUAUUUCACCCACAUACUAAAUGUAGACGUAUCUAGUUUUCAACCAUGGCUUUAAAUUCAACUAGUUUAAAAUGGUAUUAUGAGUCAUUCAAUUUGUUAGAAUAAGGAAAUUAAUAAAGUUGAAAAAUGUUCGGUAAAAAAGUUGAAAAUGUGAAACUUGAAAGCAAUACUAGUUUUGGUAGUGAUCCACCACCGAAGACUUGAAGGAAAAAAUUAAUGAUGUUGUGGAAUACCACAAAGUAUAUCAAUUGCGACAUCAAAAAGUGACAUCAAUUUAUUUUAUAGAUGUAAUCAAUAAUAAAGUCUUUAAAAAGUAGUUCUUUUACUUGAAAAACAAAUAAAACUCAAAAAAUAAUAAGAUUAUUACUUAAUAUCAUAAAGUAAAUAUACGAUAGAUUUACAUUAAAUUUCAUUACACAUAAUUCAUCGCUCUAAAUAUGACUUGGAUCAAAGUCACGCUAAUCACAUUACCGUUAAAGUUUUACCUUUUUAUUAUAAUUUAUCAAAAAAACAAAAAUAGAUUCAUUUCUCGGGAGGAUAAGUAUAAAUUAUUACUUGUAGUGUACAGUAUCCCAUUUUAAUAUGCAUUAAUUCUAUCGUAUUACACAAAGUUUCCUUCUUCAUUCAAAAAAAAUGGAAUUUUAUAUUUUUUUAUCAACUUUAUCAAUAUAUACAAUUGCUUUCAUUUGUCCCUGGUUGACUCUGGUAUUGUAUCUAUUAUAUAAAUCCUUCCUCUCUUUUCCCUUGUUCUUUGCAGGAGAAACUAUUUCAAUGGAUUUUGAGGCAGCAAGAGGAAUGAUCAUGGGUUACAACAACUGAUAUAGCUUCAUAUUUGCAGGUAUCUUCUGUAAUUUCUUGCUCUUAUUGUUUUGAUGAAUCUGCUUGGCUAAUGUUGAUUCUUUUACUUAAUGCUUCAACCAACAGUAUGUUUCUGCACCACUCCGGUGAAUUCAACCGUAGUGUCCAAACAGUUAAGCACUUAAACAGAUCAGUGUAUUUUGGUGUGUAGAAUAAUCAGAGUAAAAUUAUAGGUGAGAGGAUGAAGACGGUAGCAUAGGAUAGAAGAGAAGAGAAGAGACUAUUGGUUUUCUAGAAAUCCUAAUUAAUAGAUGCUUGAUACUAGUUGAGAAGUAUGUUUGGUGUUUUGGAUAGAAACGAAAGUAACAUAGUGUGUGGGAGAAUGAGGUGAUGGAAAGACUUAUCAUUUUCUAAACCCCCUAGACACAUGAUUGUGCACUAGUUGUUAUAAUCACACCUUCCUUAGAAGCAAUUGCUGUUGAGGUUGCUCCAUGUUCUCUACUGUCAAAUUUGCCCAAGCUCUGUCAGACAAUCAUAUAUUUUUUAAAAUUAAUAAGUUUGCUCAUUUUUGUUUUACGGUUUAUAGGAUUACUUUUUUCGUGAUUCAUUUUUAUUUUUCUUCAACUUGAAUUAAUUUAUUAAUUAAUUCAUUUUUUUAUUUGAAGCAAAAGUGAAGAGAUAUAUUUUCACAAACCAAUAUAUGGGAAUGAAAACCCCCUGGAUUCCUGCCCCGCAUAGGAAAAUAUGCUACAUAUGUUUUUUUACAGUUUUCUUUCAUGUCUUUGUUUCAUUUUUUGCGAUUUUCAUUUUAAUCAUGCAAUAAUUUUAAAAUAUAAAUAGUGUUAGAAGAUAAAUAAAUUAAAAAAUACAUGUCUCUUUUCAUUUAUAUAUUUUAUAUUUUUAAGCUGCCAUAGAAAAUUUCUUUAAAUUUUUUUAAUAAUACAUUAAAUAUUUUUGAAAAAUUAGUUUUAAAACAAUUUUUUAGAUUAAUUUCCUUAAAACAAUUUAAAAAUAAAUAAUAAACUCAAAAAAAAACUGAUAAAUAAUUAAUCAAAGUUUUACGUUAUUUUAUUAAUUUUACUUUAACAAUAUAAUAUUUUUGAAAAAUUGUUAUGCAUUCAUUUGUAUUUAAUUAGCUCCUUGCAUUUAUUUUAUAAAAUAAUUUGAAAGUUUAUUACUUUAUAAAAAAAAAGAGGUUUUUUUUUUAUAAUUGGAUCGAUGGUCGAAUCGGUCAAGCUACCGGUUUGUCGAUCAUAUUAAAAAAUCAAAAAUAAAAAUAUUGUUCAAUCGGUUUUUUAAUUAGUUCAAUUGAUACCUACCAAUUUAUGGUUCAAUUGAUUCUAUACCCUUUUCUGAACCAAUACUUUAACUUAUUCCCAUUUUGACUAAUCCAAUUCAAUUCAAACAUUAUUGAUGAAAUUUUAAUUUUGAAUUAAAAUAAACUUUUUCAAAAUUUCAAGAUUAUCCAUUAUUUUUAAAUUAAAAAUAUUUAAUUAAAAGGUAUUUAAUAUUAAAUAUAAUUACGUUAAUUGUUAAGGCAUAUCAUAUUUUUCUUUUGAUUGCUGCUUCACUAAAAAAAAACACUUUCUGUUUGGACCAGAUUUAGCAUCAGUUACUGUUUCCUGCUCCUCUUGCAACUAUUGGUUCAACAGAAGCUGCCAUUUAAUCUUCGAAUUAAUAUUUGGUACUGAUAUAGAUAAAGUUUUUAUAUUUGCUUAAACUGAAAUAUAUUUGGUGCUACUCUUAUAAUCUUAUAUGUGUCUGUAUUAGUGAAUUAAUGUUGUAUGUAUUUCAGUUACUGCUUCUUGCUCCUCUUGCAACUAUUGAUUCAACUGAAGCUACCAUUUAAUCUUCGAAUUAAUAUUUGGUACUGAUAUAGAUAAAGUUUUUAUAUUUGCUUAAACUGAAAUAUAUUUGGUGCUACUCUUAUAAUCUUACAUCUAUUCUAGGUAUUAUUGAGCACCUGAAUUAAUAUUUGGUGCAACUAAAUACACCACAGCCAUUGACAUCUGUUCUAG
RNAcentral lists this long non-coding RNA (3733 nucleotides) under Gossypium barbadense (sea-island cotton). Its description in RNAcentral is "long non-coding RNA (GBAR_LNC011126)". Lineage: Eukaryota; Viridiplantae; Streptophyta; Magnoliopsida; Malvales; Malvaceae. The record is from RNAcentral.